This is a long non-coding RNA of Pseudophryne corroboree (corroboree frog), 666 nucleotides long. RefSeq lists it as uncharacterized. The transcript is spliced from 3 exons. The record is from RefSeq and is a predicted model, not a curated record. NCBI's taxonomy places the organism in Eukaryota, Metazoa, Chordata, Amphibia, Anura, Myobatrachidae.
AGCAGGUUUCCGUAGCAACGGCACCGGGAGGCGCACGGCGCGGGUCCGUGAUAUCACUGGACGCCGAGGGUGUGGGAGCAGCGAGUAGAGAUGGUCCUGGUGGUGGUAUUUUCAUCUUUAUAAGAGCCCCUGGAUGGAAGGACAGAGCACCCCUGGAUGAACAGUGCACCCCUGGAGGACACAGCAAGUCCUUGAUGGACGGACAGAGUACCCCUAGAUGGACAAAGCAUCCCUGGAAUACACAGCAGCCCCUUGAUGAACAGACAGAGCACCCCUAGAUGGACAGAGCACACCUGGAUGGACACAGCAGACCCUUGUCGGACACAGCAGCCCCUUGAUGGACAAUGCAGCAGCACCCCUGGUGUGUAGCAUUUUGUAUGCAGAUUUAGGCCAUGCAUGACUGGAGUGAAAUGGUGCUGAGUCCCGGCUCCGGCCUACCUGACAUAGAAUCCAAAACCAAUGAGAAUCUGGUGAUGGAAGGAUGACAUUCAGCCUCAAUCUGGAAUCCAAGUCUGGAGGGAAUACCCGAGCUGUGGCUUGGAUAGACGCAGAUUCCAUAAGUUUGGAGCAGUUUGGAUUCAAAGGAAUUCGAACCAGUCAUCUCUAGCAGGAAGUGACCUUUUGAGAGAAAAAUAUUGUUCUCUAAUUAAACAAUAUGGACCACAA